CGACAAGAUUGUUGUUCUUCCUUCGUGUAUAAGCCGGGAGGCAUGUCUUUGGAGUAAGCAUCGUUCAAUCACAUACAGCAACCAUGAACGAGCAAUCCUUUUUUUUUUACGACCGUUGAAGCGCAGCAAAGAUGGGAGGGGAAUCGUGUCCCACUGGGCGUGCCAUUUUGUUUGGUCGAAAACUGAGAGAAGACAUAGAAAAAUAAUGUAAUGCAAGGGAGACACAUGCACACAUAUUCGAGAACCACAUAUUUCAUUAAUUCUUUCUUGAAUAUACAAAAUAUAUGAUCAACUAAAAAAAUUGUCUUCUUCCGUCUUCAGCGUCAUGCUUAAUGAGAGGUCUGACUUGUAGAGAAAAUUGCGUAGUUAGCCAAUUCCCGGGGCCUGUUGGGUGCGUCCGGUUAAUUACAUCUGCAAGACGAGCUUACGGAAAACCUCCGAU
Molecule: long non-coding RNA, 442 nt
Filed under: Sorghum bicolor (sorghum)
Lineage: Eukaryota; Viridiplantae; Streptophyta; Magnoliopsida; Poales; Poaceae
Description: long non-coding RNA (SBIC_LNC010817)
Source: RNAcentral